RNAcentral lists this unclassified non-coding RNA (331 nucleotides) under soil metagenome. RNAcentral's name for it is "partial contains 5.8S ribosomal RNA, internal transcribed spacer 2, and large subunit ribosomal RNA". The stretch from base 1 to 120 matches the Rfam family "5.8S ribosomal RNA", at positions 35 to 154 of the family's 154-position model. The record is from RNAcentral.
GAUGAAGAACGCAGCGAAAUGCGAUAAGUAAUGUGAAUUGCAGAAUUCAGUGAAUCAUCGAAUCUUUGAACGCACAUUGCGCCCCCUGGUAUUCCGGGGGGCAUGCCUGUUCGAGCGUCAUUUCACCACUCAAGCCUCGCUUGGUAUUGGGUAACGCGGUCCGCCGCGUGCCUCAAAUCGACCGGCUGGGUCUUCUGUCCCCUAAGCGUUGUGGAAACUAUUCGCUAAAGGGUGCUCGGGAGGCUACGCCGUAAAACAAACCCAUUUCUAAGGUUGACCUCGGAUCAGGUAGGGAUACCCGCUGAACUUAAGCAUAUCAAUAAGCGGAGGA